RNAcentral lists this long non-coding RNA (1049 nucleotides) under Zonotrichia albicollis (white-throated sparrow). RNAcentral describes it as "lncRNA (ENSZALG00000005108.1)". The record is from RNAcentral. Lineage: Eukaryota; Metazoa; Chordata; Aves; Passeriformes; Passerellidae.
CAUUAAUUAAUUUUAAUAAAAUGGGGCAGAUUCUGUGGGGAAAGUUACAGGGCAGGGGACGCCAUUGAUUAAUAAAGGAUAAUUAUUUAUUUAUGGUUUUGAAGUCAUUGUUUUAUUAAAAUUAAGAGUUGUGGGGCAGAAUCAGUGGGUCACAUUGAGGGGACAAAAUGGAGGGAAGGUGUGAGGGGACAAAAUGGAGGGAGGCUGUGGGGAGACAAAAUGGAGGGAAGAUGUGAGGGGACAAAAUGGAGGGAGGCCGUGGGGGGACAAAAUGGAGGGAAACUGAGGGGACAGGGAGAAGGGAAGCCAUGAGGGGAGAAAACGGAGGGAAGCUGUGAGGGGACAGGUAGAAGAGAAGCCAUGAGGGGACAAAAUGGAGGGAGGCCGUGGGGAGACAAAAUGGAGGGAAGAUGUGAGGGGACAAAAUGGAGGGAGGCCGUGGGGGGACAAAAUGGAGGGAAACUGAGGGGAGAAAAUGGAGGGAAGCUGUGAGGGGACAAAAUGGAGGGAAGCUGUGAGGGGAGGGAGUGGUAAGGCAACCAUGAGAAGACAAAGUGAAGGGAAGUCAUGAGGGACAAAAUGGCAGGAAAUUGUGAGGGGACACAGAGAAAANUGAGGUCACACCUGUCCCCAGGUGACCCCAAUGUCCCCAGGUGUCCCCAGGUGAGGUCACACCUGUCCCCACUGUCCCCAAUGUGUCCAGGUGACCCCAGGUGUCCCCAAUGUCCCCAGGUGUGUCCCCAAUGUCCCCCAAUGUCCCCCACUGUCCCCCAAUGUCCCCAGUGAUGUCCCCACUGUCCCCUCACCAUCAGCUCCUCGUUAAUGAUCAUUUUGCUGAUGACCCCGUGCACCGUAGGUGUGUCCCAGGUGUGUCACACCUGUCCCAGGUGUGUCCCCAAUGUCCCCAAUGUCCCCAGGUGUCCCAAGGUGUGUCCCCAGGUGUGUCACACCUGUCCCAGGUGUGUCCCCAAUGUCCCCCCAAUGUCCCCACUGUCCCCCCAAUGUCCCCAAUGUCCCCAGAUGUGUCACACCUGUCCCAGGUGUGUCCC